CAGUAAGGGAUGGAGUGUCCCACUGGGGGCACCAGUAAGGGAUGGAGUGUCCCAGGGGGGAACUGGGGGAGCUGGGGGCACUGGGACCCCCAGUAAGGGAUGGAGUGUCCCGGGGGGGAACUGGGGGCACCAGUAAGGGGUAGAGUGUCCCACUGGGGGCACCAGUAGGGGGAGAAGUGUCCCAGUGGGGGAACUGGGGGCACUGGGAAGGGGUGGAG
Long non-coding RNA from Corapipo altera (White-ruffed manakin), 218 nucleotides. RefSeq lists it as uncharacterized. Lineage: Eukaryota; Metazoa; Chordata; Aves; Passeriformes; Pipridae. The transcript has 3 exons. The record is from RefSeq and is a predicted model, not a curated record.